GAUGAACGCUGGCGGCGUGCCUAAUACAUGCAAGUCGAGCGAACAGACGAGGAGCUUGCUCCUCUGACGUUAGCGGCGGACGGGUGAGUAACACGUGGAUAACCUACCUAUAAGACUGGGAUAACUUCGGGAAACCGGAGCUAAUACCGGAUAAUAUAUUGAACCGCAUGGUUCAAUAGUGAAAGACGGUUUUGCUGUCACUUAUAGAUGGAUCCGCGCCGCAUUAGCUAGUUGGUAAGGUAACGACUUACCAAGGCAACGAUGCGUAGCCGACCUGAGAGGGUGAUCGGCCACACUGGAACUGAGACACGGUCCAGACUCCUACGGGAGGCAGCAGUAGGGAAUCUUCCGCAAUGGGCGAAAGCUUGACGGAGCAACGCCGCGUGAGUGAUGAAGGUCUUCGGAUCGUAAAACUCUGUUAUUAGGGAAGAACAAAUGUGUAAGUAACUAUGCACGUCUUGACGGUACCUAAUCAGAAAGCCACGGCUAACUACGUG
This 497-nucleotide ribosomal RNA is filed under the name uncultured bacterium. RNAcentral's name for it is "partial 16S ribosomal RNA". It matches the Rfam family "Bacterial small subunit ribosomal RNA", at positions 28 to 507 of the family's 1533-position model. The record is from RNAcentral.